CGCUGGCGGCGUGCCUAAUACAUGCAAGUAGAACGCUGAAGAGAGGAGCUUGCUCUUCUUGGAUGAGUUGCGAACGGGUGAGUAACGCGUAGGUAACCUGCCUUGUAGCGGGGGAUAACUAUUGGAAACGAUAGCUAAUACCGCAUAACAAUGGAUGACACAUGUCAUUUAUUUGAAAGGGGCAAAUGCUCCACUACAAGAUGGACCUGCGUUGUAUUAGCUAGUAGGUGAGGUAACGGCUCACCUAGGCGACGAUACAUAGCCGACCUGAGAGGGUGAUCGGCCACACUGGGACUGAGACACGGCCCAGACUCCUACGGGAGGCAGCAGUAGGGAAUCUUCGGCAAUGGGGGCAACCCUGACCGAGCAACGCCGCGUGAGUGAAGAAGGUUUUCGGAUCGUAAAGCUCUGUUGUAAGUCAAGAACGAGUGUGAGAGUGGAAAGUUCACACUGUGACGGUAGCUUACCAGAAAGGGACGGCUAACUACGUGCCAGCAGCCGCGGUAAUACGUAGGUCCCGAGCGUUGUCCGGAUUUAUUGGGCGUAAAGCGAGCGCAGGCGGUUUGAUAAGUCUGAAGUUAAAGGCUGUGGCUCAACCAUAGUUCGCUUUGGAAACUGUCAAACUUGAGUGCAGAAGGGGAGAGUGGAAUUCCAUGUGUAGCGGUGAAAUGCGUAGAUAUAUGGAGGAACACCGGUGGCGACAGCGGCUCUCUGGUCUGUAACUGACGCUGAGGCUCGAAAGCGUGGGGAGCGAACAGGAUUAGAUACCCUGGUAGUCCACGCCGUAAACGAUGAGUGCUAGGUGUUGGAUCCUUUCCGGGAUUCAGUGCCGCAGCUAACGCAUUAAGCACUCCGCCUGGGGGGUACGACCGCAAGGUUGAAACUCAAAGGAAUUGACGGGGGCCCGCACAAGCGGUGGAGCAUGUGGUUUAAUUCGAAGCAACGCGAAGAACCUUACCAGGUCUUGACACCCCGAUGCUAUUUCUAGAGAUAGAAAGUUACUUCGGUACAUCGGUGACAGGUGGUGCAUGGUUGUCGUCAGCUCGUGUCGUGAGAUGUUGGGUUAAGUCCCGCAACGAGCGCAACCCCUAUUGUUAGUUGCCAUCAUUCAGUUGGGCACUCUAGCGAGACUGCCGGUAAUAAACCGGAGGAAGGUGGGGAUGACGUCAAAUCAUCAUGCCCCUUAUGACCUGGGCUACACACGUGCUACAAUGGUUGGUACAACGAGUUGCGAGUCGGUGACGGCAAGCUAAUCUCUUAAAGCCAAUCUCAGUUCGGAUUGUAGGCUGCAACUCGCCUACAUGAAGUCGGAAUCGCUAGUAAUCGCGGAUCAGCACGCCGCGGUGAAUACGUUCCCGGGCCUUGUACACACCGCCCGUCACACCACGAGAGUUUGUAACACCCGAAGUCGGUGAGGUAACCUUUUGGAGCCAGCCGCCUAAGGUGGGAUAGAUGAUUGGG
RNAcentral lists this ribosomal RNA (1461 nucleotides) under uncultured organism. Its description in RNAcentral is "SSU rRNA". It matches the Rfam family "Bacterial small subunit ribosomal RNA". The record is from RNAcentral.